Molecule: ribosomal RNA, 482 nt
Filed under: uncultured bacterium
Lineage: Bacteria
Description: partial 16S ribosomal RNA
Rfam family: Bacterial small subunit ribosomal RNA
Source: RNAcentral
AUUGAACGCUGGCGGCAUGCUCUACACAUGCAAGUCGAACGGUAACAGGCCGCAAGGUGCUGACGAGUGGCGAACGGGUGAGUAAUGCAUCGGAACGUGCCCCGUCGUGGGGGAUAACUACUCGAAAGAGUAGCUAAUACCGCAUACGAUCUAUGGAUGAAAGCGGGGGACCGUAAGGCCUCGCGCGAUUGGAGCGGCCGAUGUCAGAUUAGGUAGUUGGUGGGGUAAAGGCUCACCAAGCCAACGAUCUGUAGCUGGUCUGAGAGGACGACCAGCCACACUGGGACUGAGACACGGCCCAGACUCCUACGGGAGGCAGCAGUGGGGAAUUUUGGACAAUGGGCGCAAGCCUGAUCCAGCAAUGCCGCGUGCAGGAAGAAGGCCUUCGGGUUGUAAACUGCUUUUGUACGGAACGAAACGGCUCUGGUUAAUACCCGGGGCUAAUGACGGUACCGUAAGAAUAAGCACCGGCUAACUACGUG